AAUAAAGAUAGUGAACAGAUAGUAGUACUACAACAAUAUAAUACGAUAGUCGGGAUGUUUUGAACGAGUGUUGAGCGAGUGAAGUGCCCCAUAAAGAAGGGCGAGCUAUAUGUAUGAAUUCCGUGAGCAGCGAUUUCACUUCAGGUUCAGGUGCAUCCAGCAGGAAUUGAACCUACGAAUUCGCCAUAUCGAACUCGAUAAACCCGACUCCUGAGAUAGAGAAAUGCAAUAAGUAUAAGAAACAAGAGAUAGCAACAGAAAUCGAAGGACAAGAAACUACACUAGUAAUAUUACGACUGCUAGUAUAGGCAGACUAACCUUCUUCCUUAAUCCGUAUCCUCCACAACCUCCUACCUAAGGUCAUGUCCUCGUUAAGCUGAAACUGCCUUUAGUGUGAAUCUUUGUACAAAAAAAAUUUCCACCAGACUAACAGUGGGACAGAAGUAAUUACUCUUCUAAUUUAUCAGAGAUUGGCAUUUGACAUGAACAAGAACAUAGAUCACCUUCUUAGGGAACACAUUAAAAAAUAAGCUAAUAACUAAAUUAAAAAGCAGAAAAAGAUGCAUGAAUCUGCACUUAGAAAUGGAAAAGAAGAGAUCAUAUACUACAAACUUGAUUUUUGCUCAUAGUAAUUGCUAGUGUCAGGAAAAAAAGGAAAUGGCUGCUCCCCUGCAACACCAACAUAUAACGAAGGCAUACUAGGUAGGUAAUUGAACAACAAUAUCUCGGAAGCUAAACUGCAUAUUCGAGUAGAUUAUCCAGUUCUCCAUAUUUCAAGACAACGGUGAACCUCAACCACGUAAAUACAUCUAUGACUAACCUGCUGGCCCAGAAAGACAUUACAAGAAUCAUGUAUAGGAAUACACACUUGGGGCAGCAGAAGUUAUAGUAGUUUCAUGUAGUAAAGGCAAUGAAUUCGUAAUUUGUUAUGCUUACCACAUGGCAUGGGAAAUGAUAGACCGUCAGAUACAAUGCUUAUUCCCCGAGUCGAAUCCUUUUGUUGUUUGUAAGGUCUUUUACAAAGCGGUAAGCUGUCAAUGAAUGAAUACAUUAAGAACGCAUAGAUGUGAUAGAUUUCUCACUAAAGCAUACCAGCACUCCUCCAUGAUCAUUAGAUGUCGCAUGAUGUAUCCGUCCAAACAAUAAUCACAGGCACCCAUCAACAGAUGCACAAACUAAUCUUUGAUGAUCAACAAUCGAGUCAGGUAAAAGAACGAACCAUUAUAGUAACCAGUGUUCGCCCAACAAAUUGGGAUAUUCAUGUGCUCUGAUUGAUUAGCCGCAUAGGCAUGAUAUCAGGUUCAAGAUUGAUGAACAUGAAAGUAAGGGUUGAGAUAUAAAAAGGUGUGACCCCACACAGCUGCAUUCAGCAUUAAGGACGGGGUAAAAUGUGGAGCAUGCACAACAGCACAAGAAUUUAGAAUUGAACUCAAGGCCAAGAUUCUUAAAACUACUCUAAUCAUUUCUGUAGCACGGGUUUUGCUCCGAUCCAACAAAAAUACAUCAUUCUUAAAAGUAACAGAAAAGAAGAUAGAUUGUAAUGGAUGUAUGUUUCGUUAUUUUGUUUGGAAAGAUUGCUUAGAUCUAGUUUAUAGCAAUAAACAAAAGAGAAGAUGGAAAUACUAAUAUAUUGGAUUAUUAUCAAGUAACCACAAGACAUAAGUUGUUUUACUUUAAUACUUCGAAACCUUUAGAUGUUUUAAAUUACAAAGGAAAGAAAGAAACCACUUGCAUCUGAAAACAUGUCAGAUUUUUAAACAAGAGGACUGCUGUACCAUAUUGUAAAUUAUCAAAAGUAGGACGUAUAUCCACGAUAUACAUAAUCAGUACCAAUUUGGCCGCAUCACCCAACAUGACAUUACAGAAAAAACAAUUAGAAGUGUUUGAACAAUAUAGUCGAUACUAUUCUAGAAAUGGAAACUAAACCUCUAGAAACAAAAUAUAUAAUCAGUGUUCGACAUGUAAUAUACAGGACUCACUAAUGUCUUCCCCGGAAAAACAGAUAUUGCUCAUACAUAGGUCACUAGAAACUAACUUUUAUCUGGUGAAAACAGUAUCAGCCUGCAUUUGGUGGAACAUAUGGAAGGAGAGAAAUGAAAGGAUUUUCGGAGGCUGAUCAAAUGGAAUUGUAUUAUCUCUCUAUGUUUUUGGUGCAAAGAACAAUGUAAUCACACAGUUUUGGAGGUGGCCAGCAUAUCCUUAAUGCUGAGGAAACAUUAAUUACAAAACUCCUAAGAAGUCCACUAUUUCUACUCCGCAGCAUUAAGGGAUUGUAAACUGUAUUUUUAGCGCCUAUGUGCUUAUUUUUCACUAUUUAACUUGUAUAAUAGAGAUGGUUGUUCAAGAUCAUAGAUAUGACAGCAGAUAUCAUAUCCUCACAAGAUCUUGAAGUCUACAACUUUAAAAAUAGAUUUUUCACAUAAUCACAUGGAAAUAGCAUUGGAGAUCUCAAGAAAUCUUAGUUAUGCUACGCAUUGUGGAGGA
RNAcentral lists this long non-coding RNA (2484 nucleotides) under Capsicum annuum. RNAcentral describes it as "long non-coding RNA (CANN_LNC020797)". Lineage: Eukaryota; Viridiplantae; Streptophyta; Magnoliopsida; Solanales; Solanaceae. The record is from RNAcentral.